GACAGAGGUCCCGAGCGUUAGGCGGAAUCACUGGGCUUAAAGCGUGUGUAGGCGGAUCGUUAAGUGCCUUGUGAAAUCCCACGGCUCAACCGUGGAACUGCUUGGCAUACUGGCGAUCUUGAGCCACUUAGGGGCUACCGGAACAAAUGGUGGAGCGGUGAAAUGCGUAGAUAUCAUUUGGAACGCCAAUGGUGAAAACAGGUAGCUGGGAGUGUGCUGACGCUGAGACACGAAAGCCAGGGGAGCAAACGGG
RNAcentral lists this ribosomal RNA (253 nucleotides) under uncultured bacterium. Its description in RNAcentral is "partial 16S ribosomal RNA". It matches the Rfam family "Bacterial small subunit ribosomal RNA", at positions 524 to 776 of the family's 1533-position model. The record is from RNAcentral.